Molecule: long non-coding RNA, 1672 nt
Filed under: Equus asinus (donkey)
Lineage: Eukaryota; Metazoa; Chordata; Mammalia; Perissodactyla; Equidae
Description: lncRNA (ENSEASG00005029544.1)
Source: RNAcentral
GUACAGAGAAUUUUCUCCUGCUCAUCCCUUGUCUGAUCAAUCCAGAAUAAUUGCUGGGCGGACAGAAGGCGACUAACUUGCAUGAGGUUCUUCCUAAUCGUUAAUUCAGAUUACCCUCUUCUCCACACCCUACUGCACUGUCUGGAGUUCUAGCCAUUUGUCGAGUGUGUGCGCUUGUGUGUGCGUGUCCUUGGUCCACAGUCUUUGGGUUAGAGCCACAGACGCCUCACUAACGGGUCCCUGCAGAGCCGAGAGCUCUGAGCACGUGGCCACUGAGCCCCCUGGGAAGGGAGGAGGUUCUCUUUCCCACACACGUCUCCUCGUAGCGGUGAGCACAGCUCAGUGCUGAGUGCAGCCAGAGGCUUGCUUUCCCUUCUCGCCCUAAGAUGUAAAAACAAGACCUUGGUCUGUCGGACCGGGACCGGCAGUGGCUGGGCUUCCCACUCUGGAGUCUGGAGAAGGAAGGUUGUAUUACGAGGGAAGCUGCUGGUUGGAUGAGCAGAGAACUCAGUGAACGGGAAAGUGAAGAGAUGUUUCUCAGGACCUAAACCAGAAAGUCUCCACUCUGACGGCAGAGUCGAGAAUGUUCCUCUUAGAGGCCCCUGCUGCUUUUCAAAUCCCGGAGAAGGCACCGUGACGUCAUGAAAACCACCAAUUGAAUGAGUUUCUUAGGUGCCUGUCUUUUAGGGCGCGGGGCUUGCAACCAGCCCCCAGGUCACUGCCCCACCCUGCCAGAGGCCCUGCAAGCUUGGCCAGGGACAGUCACCCCAGUUUGUUCUUCUGGGCCCUCCUUGCCUCAUAGGGGUUUCUCACAGACUGUGCUUCAUCGGUUGUGAGAUCUUUUCUCCGAGUAACUAAGGGAAGGAUUUUCGUUCCCACCGUCCACAUCAAUAGAUAUCCCCCACACGGACCACAAGGUGAGGAGACCCCCGCUGCACCAGCCUCUUUAUCGAAGAAUAACCUUGGUGCUUCUUGCUGGAAGAUGCUGCCCGUGAGGAACCGGAGACUAAGUAUGAACAGGUUUUUCCCUAUUGACAGAACUGUCCAUGCACGUUUGUUAGUUCAGCACUUAAGAUGAUCCAGGGUCUAAAAUUCCACCCUUUUAAAACAUUUUUGUUUUCAAAUAUUUAUUUCAGCCUUACUGAGAAGAAUCAAGAAAGAGCAUUCCCAUUUGGUUGUUUACAGAGCAGAGUUUCUCAAAGUUGGCACUAUUGACAUCCUGGGCCGGAUCAUUCUUUGUUGUGGGGGGCUGUUGUAUGUGUGUGUGUGGGGUGCUGUAUUGUAGGAAGUUUAGCAGCAUCCCUGCCUCCACUCACUAGAUGCCAGUAGCACCCCACCCCUUGGCCCGUCAUGACAACUAAAAAUGUCUCCAGGCGUUGCCAAAUGUCUCCUGGGGGGCAAAAUCACCCCCAAUUGAGGACUACUGCUGUAGAACAAUUUUAUUCAAACAACAAACAUGGAUGGAACAUGUGUGUGAUAACUCCAUAUUUAAACAUCUUACCCGAACCAGGAGUUAGAGGGCUAAAACCAUGACUAAGACAUCAUCCUGGUUCUCUAGGAGCUUGCAGUGUGGAACUAGAGAUGUCCCACAAGUGACUGGACAGAGGAUAGAAGGGAGAGUCCAGCCGAGGAAGGAAGGGCCAUCGGCUCUUGUCCCUCUGACUGUCUUGUC